UACGUAGGGUGCAAGCGUUAAUCGGAAUUACUGGGCGUAAAGCGUGCGCAGGCGGUUUUGUAAGUCUGACGUGAAAUCCCCGGGCUCAGCCUGGGAAUUGCGUUGGAGACUGCAAGGCUAGAAUCUGGCAGAGGGGGGUAGAAUUCCACGUGUAGCAGUGAAAUGCGUAGAGAUGUGGAGGAACACCGAUGGCGAAGGCAGCCCCCUGGGUCAAGAUUGACGCUCAUGCACGAAAGCGUGGGGAGCAAACAGG
RNAcentral lists this ribosomal RNA (253 nucleotides) under uncultured bacterium. Its description in RNAcentral is "partial 16S ribosomal RNA". It matches the Rfam family "Bacterial small subunit ribosomal RNA", at positions 524 to 776 of the family's 1533-position model. The record is from RNAcentral.